Molecule: ribosomal RNA, 467 nt
Filed under: uncultured bacterium
Lineage: Bacteria
Description: partial 16S ribosomal RNA
Rfam family: Bacterial small subunit ribosomal RNA
Source: RNAcentral
GAGGAAAGAGGGAGGCGGGCUGAACACAUGCAAGUCGAACGGAAAGGCUCCAGCUUGCUGGAGUACUCGAGUGGCGAACGGGUGAGUAACACGUGGGUAAUCUGCCCUGCACUCUGGGAUAAGCCUGGGAAACUGGGUCUAAUACUGGAUAUGACCUUUCUCCUUAUGGGGUUCGGUGGAAAGUUCUUCGGUGUAGGAUGAGCCCGCGGCCUAUCAGCUUGUUGGUGGGGUGAUGGACUACCAAGGCGACGACGGGUAGCCGGCCUGAGAGGGUGAUCGGCCACAUUGGGACUGAGAUACGGCCCAGACUCCUACGUGAGGCAGCAGUGGGGAAUAUUGCACAAUGGGCGGAAGCCUGAUGCAGCGACGCCGCGUGAGGGAUGACGGCCUUCGUGUUGUAAACCUCUUUCAGCAGGGACGAAGCGUAAGUGACGGUACCUGCAGAAGAAGCACCGGCUAACUAUGUG